GAUCCUGGCUCAGGAUGAACGCUAGCUACAGGCUUAACACAUGCAAGUCGAGGGGCAGCGGGAUUGAAGCUUGCUUCAAUUGCCGGCGACCGGCGCACGGGUGAGUAACGCGUAUCCAACCUUCCGUACACUCAGGGAUAGCCUUUCGAAAGAAAGAUUAAUACCUAAUGGUAUGAUGAGAUUGCAUGAUAGCAUCAUUAAAGAUUUAUCGGUGUACGAUGGGGAUGCG
Molecule: ribosomal RNA, 229 nt
Filed under: uncultured bacterium
Lineage: Bacteria
Description: partial 16S ribosomal RNA
Rfam family: Bacterial small subunit ribosomal RNA
Source: RNAcentral